GCCUACGACCAUGUCACCCUGAAUGUGCCCGAUCUCGUCUGAUCUCGGAAGCUAAGCAUGGUCGAGCCUGAUUAGUACUCGGAUGGGAGACUGCCUGGGAAUACCAGGUGUUGUAGGCU
RNAcentral lists this ribosomal RNA (119 nucleotides) under Petromyzon marinus (sea lamprey). The record is from RNAcentral. Lineage: Eukaryota; Metazoa; Chordata; Hyperoartia; Petromyzontiformes; Petromyzontidae.